CGGGGUGUAGCGCAGCCCGGUAGCGCGCCUGCUUUGGGAGCAGGAUGUCAGGAGUUCGAAUCCCCUCACCCCGA
Hydrogenophilales bacterium is the source of this 74-nucleotide non-coding RNA. The record is from Rfam. Lineage: Bacteria; Pseudomonadati; Pseudomonadota; Hydrogenophilia; Hydrogenophilales.